Araneus ventricosus is the source of this 73-nucleotide non-coding RNA. The record is from the annotation of a GenBank genome assembly. Lineage: Eukaryota; Metazoa; Arthropoda; Arachnida; Araneae; Araneidae.
AGCCAACAGAGAGAUUCAAACUUGCGACCACUGGUAUACGAGACCAGUGCUCUAACCUCUGAGCUAUGGUGGC